Non-coding RNA from Claviceps citrina, 95 nucleotides. NCBI's taxonomy places the organism in Eukaryota, Fungi, Ascomycota, Sordariomycetes, Hypocreales, Clavicipitaceae. The record is from the annotation of a GenBank genome assembly.
GGGCGGAUGGUUUAGUGGUAUAAUACUCCCUUAGCACGAUGUCACCAGAUGACAGGGUGUGGGAGUGGUCCGGGGUUCGAUUCCCCGUCUGUCCA